UCAGCAUCACUGUCACUUCCUGGAGAAAAGCUCGACAGACACAGGGGCAACACACAGCAGCAACAGAAAAUGAUCCUCCAUCACACGAGAGCAGUAACUGAGCCGUGUUCAGCGUUCAUCCUCAGACAGUCUGACAGUAAAAAGUCCUCCAGCUUUCAACACUGUGACGACUAGUUUCCCCUUUUCAGGAAAGUUGGGAUACUUUCCAAAAUGCAAUAAAAAGAAAGAUCUGAGAUUUGUAAAUUCACAUGAACCUUUAGUUUCAACACUUUUACUGACCAGGGUAAUUGUAUUUUGAAAAAAUAAAAACAAAUUUCAUGCAUGCAA
Molecule: long non-coding RNA, 327 nt
Organism: Micropterus salmoides (largemouth bass)
Lineage: Eukaryota; Metazoa; Chordata; Actinopteri; Centrarchiformes; Centrarchidae
Exons: 2
Source: RefSeq, a predicted model, not a curated record